Non-coding RNA from Caenorhabditis elegans, 21 nucleotides. The record is from Ensembl. Lineage: Eukaryota; Metazoa; Nematoda; Chromadorea; Rhabditida; Rhabditidae.
UAUUGUAAUCAUGUUCCAAUU